This is a long non-coding RNA of Hippocampus comes (tiger tail seahorse), 93 nucleotides long. RefSeq lists it as uncharacterized. NCBI's taxonomy places the organism in Eukaryota, Metazoa, Chordata, Actinopteri, Syngnathiformes, Syngnathidae. The transcript is spliced from 3 exons. The record is from RefSeq and is a predicted model, not a curated record.
GUUGCCAUGGAUCCUUUUCUUAAUGAUUAUUAUUAUUGUUCUCAUUCAAAGUUUGUUUCAUUUACAAAUCACCGACGGCACUGGCAAAGAACG